Molecule: non-coding RNA, 73 nt
Organism: Trichonephila clavata
Lineage: Eukaryota; Metazoa; Arthropoda; Arachnida; Araneae; Nephilidae
Source: the annotation of a GenBank genome assembly
GUUCCCGUGACCUAGUGGAUAAGGCGUUGGACUACGAAUCCAAAGGUUGUGGCUUCAAGUUCCACCAGGAACA